Molecule: ribosomal RNA, 443 nt
Filed under: uncultured bacterium
Lineage: Bacteria
Description: SSU rRNA
Rfam family: Bacterial small subunit ribosomal RNA
Source: RNAcentral
AGAACGAACGCUGGCGGCAGGCCUAAAACAUGCAAGUCGAGCGCCCCGCAAGGGGAGCGGCGGACGGGUGAAUAACACGUGGGAAUGUACCUUUCGGUACGGAACAACUCAGGGAAACUUGAGCUAAUACCGUAUGCGCCCUAACGGGGAAAGAUUUAUCGCCGAAAGAUCAGCCCGCGUCCGAUUAGCUAGUUGGUGAGGUAACGGCUCACCAAGGCACCGAUCGGUAGCUGGUUUGAGAGAACGAUCAGCCACACUGGGACUGAGACACGGCCCAGACUCCUACGGGAGGCAGCAGUUGGGAAUCUUGGACAAUGGGCGCAAGCCUGAUCCAGCCAUGCCGCGUGAGUGAUGAAGGCCUUCGGGUUGUAAAGCUCUUUCGCCUACGACGAUAAUGACGGUAGUAGGAGAAGAAGCCCGGCUAACUUCGUGCCAGCAGCCGC